GAUGAACGCUAGCUACAGGCUUAACACAUGCAAGUCGCGGGGCAGCAUGGGGGUUGCUUGCAAUCCCCGAUGGCGACCGGCGCACGGGUGAGUAACGCGUAUCCAACCUGCCCUUCACCACGGGAUAACCCGGCGAAAGUCGGACUAAUACCGUAUGUUGUCCAUUGACGGCAUCCGAUUUGGACGAAAGGUUUGGCGGUGAAGGAUGGGGAUGCGUCCGAUUAGCUGGACGGGGGGGUGACGGCCCACCGGGGCGACGAUCGGUAGGGGUUCUGAGAGGAAGGUCCCCCACACUGGAACUGAGACACGGUCCAGACUCCUACGGGAGGCAGCAGUGAGGAAUAUUGGUCAAUGGGCGUAAGCCUGAACCAGCCAAGUAGCGUGCAGGAUGACGGCCCUAGGGGUUGUAAACUGCUUUUAUGCGGGGAUAAAGUGGCCCACGUGUGGGUUUUUGCAGGUACCGCAUGAAUAAGGACCGGCUAAUUCCGUG
Molecule: ribosomal RNA, 490 nt
Filed under: uncultured bacterium
Lineage: Bacteria
Description: partial 16S ribosomal RNA
Rfam family: Bacterial small subunit ribosomal RNA
Source: RNAcentral